Molecule: transfer RNA, 86 nt
Filed under: candidate division WS2 bacterium ADurb.Bin280
Lineage: Bacteria
Description: tRNA-Leu
Rfam family: tRNA
About the family: Transfer RNA (tRNA) molecules are approximately 80 nucleotides in length.
Source: RNAcentral
GCCCGAGUGGCGGAAUUGGUAUACGCGCAGCACUUAAAAUGCUGUUCUCUAUGAGAAUGUCGGUUCGAGUCCGACCUCGGGCACCA